RNAcentral lists this ribosomal RNA (651 nucleotides) under Carpophilus oculatus gilloglyi. RNAcentral's name for it is "eukaryotic LSU rRNA". It matches the Rfam family "Eukaryotic large subunit ribosomal RNA", at positions 523 to 863 of the family's 3401-position model. Lineage: Eukaryota; Metazoa; Arthropoda; Insecta; Coleoptera; Nitidulidae. The record is from RNAcentral.
UCAUUCGCGUUUCGAUUGUUAACGUAGAGUGGUUGUGUGACGGACGGCUUCGGUUUGUACGCACCUGCCGUUUUGCGAUUGGCGUCGAACGCGUGCACUUUUCCCCUAGUAGGACGUCGCGAUCCGUUGGGCGUCGGUCUAAGGCCCGCGGUGGAGCCCUGCUGAUAGUUUACUAUCGGUAGGACCCGUGGUGUUUCCCGACCGGCUCGCUCGACGGUAUACAGAUGGCGCAGAGCCGCGACUCAGUUCGCGUUCGACCCGAGGCAAGCGCGUUCGUAGUUUCGGCGAUCGGACCUAGUGCCGGUCCUGGACUCGGAUGACUGUUGGCUUCGGAGUUCUCGAACAGACUCUGUGAAACGCCGAUCUGCGGCGCUAUAGCUUUGGGUACUUUCAGGACCCGUCUUGAAACACGGACCAAGGAGUCUAGCAUGUGCGCGAGUCAUUGGGACAUAACUAAACCUAAAGGCGCAAUAAAAGUAAAGGUCAGCCUUGCGUUGACCGAGGGAGGAUAGGCGGUUUGCCCUUAAAGUGGCCGCCUCGCACUCCCGGGGCGUCUCAUUCUCAUUGCGAGAAGAGGCGCACCAAGAGCGUACACGCUGGGACCCGAAAGAUGGUGAACUAUGCCUGGUCACAAGUACCUUAAGGGAAAGU